Molecule: ribosomal RNA, 498 nt
Filed under: uncultured bacterium
Lineage: Bacteria
Description: partial 16S ribosomal RNA
Rfam family: Bacterial small subunit ribosomal RNA
Source: RNAcentral
GACGAACGCUGGCGGCGUGCCUAAUACAUGCAAGUCGAGCGGACGAAUCGAAAGCUUGCUUUUGAUUCGUUAGCGGCGGACGGGUGAGUAACACGUGGGCAACCUGCCCUGUAGACGGGGAUAACACCGAGAAAUCGGUGCUAAUACCGGAUAACACGAAAUGUCGCAUGACGUUUCGUUGAAAGACGGCGCAAGCUGUCGCUACAGGAUGGGCCCGCGGCGCAUUAGCUAGUUGGUGAGGUAACGGCUCACCAAGGCGACGAUGCGUAGCCGACCUGAGAGGGUGAUCGGCCACACUGGGACUGAGACACGGCCCAGACUCCUACGGGAGGCAGCAGUAGGGAAUCUUCCGCAAUGGACGAAAGUCUGACGGAGCAACGCCGCGUGAGCGAAGAAGGCCUUCGGGUCGUAAAGCUCUGUUGUUAGGGAAGAACAAGUAACGCAGUAACUGGCGUUACCAUGACGGUACCUAACGAGAAAGCCACGGCUAACUACGUG